ACGCUCGACACUACGGGAAGCAGCAGUGGGGAAUAUUGCACAAUGGGGGAAACCCUGAUGCAGCGACGCCGCGUGAAGGAAGAAGUAUCUCGGUAUGUAAACUUCUAUCAGCAGGGAAGAAAAUGACGGUACCUGACUAAGAAGCCCCGGCUAACUACGUCNCACAGCCGCGGUAAUCUGAGCGGGCUGGCAAGGC
RNAcentral lists this ribosomal RNA (196 nucleotides) under uncultured bacterium. RNAcentral's name for it is "partial 16S ribosomal RNA". It matches the Rfam family "Bacterial small subunit ribosomal RNA", at positions 326 to 539 of the family's 1533-position model. The record is from RNAcentral.